CCUACGGGAGGCAGCAGUAAGGAAUAUUGGUCAAUGGACGCAAGUCUGAACCAGCCAUGCCGCGUGAAGGAUGAAGGUCCUCUGGAUUGUAAACUUCUUUUAUCUGGGACGAAACCCAUCUUUUCUAAGGUGAUUGACGGUACCAGAGGAAUAAGCACCGGCUAACUCCGUGCCAGCAGCCGCGGUAAUACGGAGGGUGCAAGCGUUAUCCGGAUUCACUGGGUUUAAAGGGUGCGUAGGUGGGUUGCCAAGUCCGUGGUGAAAUCUCCGAGCUUAACUCGGAAACUGCCAUGGAUACUGGUAGUCUUGAAUUAUCUGGAGGUCAGCGGAAUAUGUCAUGUAGCGGUGAAAUGCUUAGAUAUGACAUAGAACACCAAUUGCGAAGGCAGCUGACUACGGGUAUAUUGACACUGAGGCACGAAAGCGUGGGGAUCAAACAGGAUUAGAUACCCUGGUAGUCCACGCCCUAAACUAUGGAUACUCGACAUUUGUGUAUACACAAUAAGUAGUCUGAGAGAAGACGAUUAAGUAGUACCACCGUAACGGUAAGGUAACGUUACCGACGUAAGGUUAGUUAAACGUAACGAAGUUAGAGUUAGACGGGCGUUGAGACGUUACGCCGACGGACGACCGACCGAGGGGAGGUUAGGGAGG
Molecule: ribosomal RNA, 654 nt
Filed under: uncultured bacterium
Lineage: Bacteria
Description: bacterial SSU rRNA
Rfam family: Bacterial small subunit ribosomal RNA (bases 1-539)
Source: RNAcentral